CCUACGGGGGGCUGCAGUGAGGAAUAUUGGUCAAUGGGCGAGAGCCUGAACCAGCCAAGUCGCGUGAAGGAUGAAGGAUCUAUGGUUUGUAAACUUCUUUUAUAUGGGAAUAAAAUGUUCCACGUGUGGGAUUUUGUAUGUACCAUAUGAAUAAGGAUCGGCUAACUCCGUGCCAGCAGCCGCGGUAAUACGGAGGAUCCGAGCGUUAUCCGGAUUUAUUGGGUUUAAAGGGAGCGUAGGUGGAUUGUUAAGUCAGUUGUGAAAGUUUGCGGCUCAACCGUAAAAUUGCAGUUGAAACUGGCAGUCUUGAGUACAGUAGAGGUGGGCGGAAUUCGUGGUGUAGCGGUGAAAUGCUUAGAUAGCACGAAGAACUCCGAUUGCGAAGGCAGCUCACUGGACUGCAACUGACACUGAGGCUCGAAAGUGUGGGUAUCAAACAGGAUUAGAUACCCGGGUAGUC
RNAcentral lists this ribosomal RNA (460 nucleotides) under uncultured bacterium. Its description in RNAcentral is "partial 16S ribosomal RNA". It matches the Rfam family "Bacterial small subunit ribosomal RNA", at positions 338 to 795 of the family's 1533-position model. The record is from RNAcentral.